UCUUCCCUGGUGAUUACUUUAUUCCAGUUGUUUUUCAUAUUUUUGCAGCUAGUUCGGUCUUGAAACUGGAAAAUUUUGUGUGAAAAGAAAAGUUGUCUUGCUGCUCAGUGACACUGAUUUUUUUGGUAUCAUGAAUUGCUGGCACAAAUUUUUAUUAAGUUUAUGUUGAGGCCUGUGCCUCCAUCUGAAAAGUAUUAACCAAUUGGCAUUAGGUGGAGUCCUAAAAUCUUAUACAUUGAAAUAUAAGCCUUAGAAUACCUGAUGUGAGAAUUGAUAUACUCAACACAUCCCCUCACAUGUGCGCUCACAUGAAUUUAUAUUCUCCCUUAUAUUGUGAUGUGGAGCAUGUUUUACAAAAUUAGGCCUGAAACCUAACGAACUGCUUGUUCUGAUAUCAUGUUGCUUCUACAG
Molecule: non-coding RNA, 411 nt
Organism: Malus domestica (apple)
Lineage: Eukaryota; Viridiplantae; Streptophyta; Magnoliopsida; Rosales; Rosaceae
Source: RefSeq, a predicted model, not a curated record